UGCCAGCAGCCGCGGUAAUACGGAGGGUGCAAGCGUUGCUCGGAAUCACUGGGCGUAAAGCGUACGCAGGCGGUUUGUCAGGUCGGGUGUGAAAUCCCGGGGCUCAACCCCGGAACUGCAUCCGAAACCGGCAGACUUGAGUACGGAAGAGGGGAGUGGAAUUCCUGGUGUAGAGGUGAAAUUCGUAGAUAUCAGGAGGAACACCAGUGGCGAAAGCGACUCCCUGGUCCGAUACUGACGCUCAUGUACGAAAGCGUGGGGAGCAAACAGGAUUAGAUA
This 279-nucleotide ribosomal RNA is filed under the name uncultured bacterium. RNAcentral describes it as "partial 16S ribosomal RNA". It matches the Rfam family "Bacterial small subunit ribosomal RNA", at positions 506 to 784 of the family's 1533-position model. The record is from RNAcentral.